Molecule: long non-coding RNA, 963 nt
Organism: Glossina fuscipes
Lineage: Eukaryota; Metazoa; Arthropoda; Insecta; Diptera; Glossinidae
Exons: 3
Source: RefSeq, a predicted model, not a curated record
UGUUCAACAUACCAAAAAAAAAGGGCGAAUUGUUUGUCUUACCUUGAACUCUUAAGGGUCUAUACAAGAUUGUUGACAAUGUGGUUUGCCGCUUUCUUUCUUAGAAAACGAAGAGGGAUUUUGCGGAAACAACUCCUCCAGUGAGCAUGUGUUUUAUUGUCCUAAUACAAGGUGCGUAUUAUACGUAAUAAUAACUGCUGUUGGCUUAGUUAAUCUUCAGAGAAUAAGGAUAUACUACUAAAGUCAAAUCUUUGGUUUUUUAGUUCCAUAAGAAAAACUGUAAAGAUGUCUUUAUGUCACUAUUCUUUUCAUUUUGAAGCCUCUAGUUUAACUACUUGUGGGCGAAAUAAUCGACAACACAUAGCAAGUGUUUAUUAGAACAUUACGAUUUUAUUGAUAUUAUUGUCAUCAUUCAAUAAAAGCAUAUAUAGUAUUUGUCAAUAGAAGUACAUAAUCAUAAUCUUUUAUCAACUGCCGCCAAGAAACAAAAGUGCACUAUGCGAACAGGAAUUGUGCCUGAAAUUAAAUUAAUAAGGAUUUAAUGGAAGUUAUCCAUUAUUAUAAAUUGGCAGAAGCGAAAGCCGAUCAUAUGAAAAAUUUAAAAAUACCAGGCGAAAUGUGAUAUGUAUAAAGCCAUUAUAAAGAAAACAACCUGCUCGAGCCGAAAGGGUUUAAUCAAAAAACAGUUGCGUUUCUUUAAGCACUACACCGAAAUGGCUGGAAACUGUAGUCGAAGCUGUGCCCCCGACGCGAAAACUUAAAAAAAUGUCGAAUAAGCUGAGUUCUGAAUUAAGUAGGACUAUAAGUACCGAACAAACAAGAAUAUGAGCCAUACAUGUGAAAAGAAGAUAUUAUCCUGUAGCUAACCUAAAGAAAUUUUCUCGGAAAUCAACUAUACUUAUUUUAAAUUUUUUCAUAAUCUUUAUAUUGAAAAGAAGUACGCUGAUGUGAAAAUAUGGUAAA